Trichocladium antarcticum is the source of this 110-nucleotide non-coding RNA. The record is from the annotation of a GenBank genome assembly. Lineage: Eukaryota; Fungi; Ascomycota; Sordariomycetes; Sordariales; Chaetomiaceae.
GGUCCGCUGGCUCAAUGGCAGAGCGUCUGACUACGACUCAUUCAACUCAUCACGAUGAUCUGAUGGAUCGGGUAAUCAGGAGGUUCCAGGUUCGACCCCUGGGUGGAUCG